Long non-coding RNA from Pseudopipra pipra, 8043 nucleotides. RefSeq lists it as uncharacterized. NCBI's taxonomy places the organism in Eukaryota, Metazoa, Chordata, Aves, Passeriformes, Pipridae. The record is from RefSeq and is a predicted model, not a curated record. The transcript is spliced from 3 exons.
UUAUUUAAAUUUGUGUAAGUUUUAAAUACAAAACAAAUGUGAGAGCUAUUCUAAUGUUACAUUGAAACAAAUGUAGAUCAGAGAUGUUUGUUGUAAAGAAGUACGUAUACAAGAUUCAAAAACAGGUCCCUCUUAUCUAAUAUGACAUGUUUCCUGUGAAGCUAUAUUAACUGUAUGUUAAAGACUAUGAUCUCCUAAUUAACCAUUCUAGGGAGGAAGAAAGAGAUCUUUUAGGCUCAAUAAUCCUUGUAAUAUGUUCAACAAAUUUGAAUCUAAAACUAUAGACUUUAAUUUAUUGGGAGUUAGCCAUCUAUAUGAUGGCUGCAAAACACCCAGGAAAAAUGUGGUCGUGGAUAAUAACCCAUGAUAACAGAGAGAAAUUAGCUAUCUAGUUAAUGAGGUUAAGCUACAGUAUCCUCUUCGUCAUCAUGAGCUAAACCACUGGGAUCUUGUAUGCAGAAAUGGCUGGGAUAUUUUUACAGAGUCUCAGAAAUUUAGAGAAGCAGCCUUCAGUGAAAAGAGUCAGAAAAUUGAACUGUUGGAAUGAAAAUCUAAACCGGAACUAUAGUCUCUGAUUGUAGUGGUGUAUAAUUUGAGAUCAUUCCUCACUUACUAAAUGGUUCUGUGGUUCAUCAUUCAUUAAGAACAUUUGAGAAGGUUAAAACUGGUGAAGUUUCAGGGGAAUAAGCAAACAGCAAGUUUUUUGGCCCAUUUGUUUCACUACAAAAAUCUUCCCAUACCAUAAAAUAUUUAUAACAGAACUUUAAGUAAUAAAAAGGAUUAUUUUCUUUCCAUUCCAUGGUUCCUAUUCUGUUCAGUUUUGCCAGUAGAAAUAACAUUAAUAACUUUAACAAUCAAGCCAGUUUUUAACUGUGUCACGUUUAAUACCCUUCAUCUCAGAGAGUUGGAUUUUUCAAGAAAGAAUCUAGUAAGUAUGAAGCUGUUUUGACCUAAUUAGCAAAGUAGCGAGCUUAAUUAUGAGUGAUUCUGAGAAAGCAUUUUAUUGCUGAAAAGAAAAGCAACAAAUCAGUUGUAACUUUCAAUGUCCCAUUGAACUUUAUGACAUCAUUUGUAGUAUAAACCACUGACAUAAUCUGGCUCUGAUUUUGAGUCCUCAAGGAAGGGUGGUUGUGACAGUGCCCUUUGAAAUAACAUUGAAGCUUCGGCUCCCAUGUCAAUAUCAUGCUCUAAUCAGUGCAGUCUUUAUUGUUGCAGGGUCUUCCACCUUAUAAUUGACCCUGACAUAUGCUAUUCACUCUGCCCCUUGGCUUCGGACAUAUAAUUUCUGUCAUGGUCAAUUAUUAGGUAAUAGAGGCAGCAACCACAGGGACCAUUGCUUAAAAUCAUCCUACACAGUAAGCCCUGAAGUCACCAAAUCCAAAUAUAACUGGAGGGGAAGAAGGGAUCUAGUCUUUGAUAAAACUAAUAUUCUUUUCACUUCUAUAUAGAAAAAUGUCAAUUUCCAUUGUCCUGUAUAUUACUGAGACAAAUGGUGGCAGUGCUAUUUCUGAAACAGGUUAAGAAAAAGUACAAAAACCAUUACCAAACUCAACAUACUCUGAAAUAAGGAAAUUGUCUGUAUGAGCAUACAGUAUGCAUAAAAAUUAGAUUACACUACAUUUGAAAGGCAGAUGAGAGUUUAAGUGACAAGUGGGCAAGUGCUAAAAAUAAGGGCAUGUUACUUCCUUUCCAACACUGCUUUGUCUAUAUGCUUUCUUUAAUGUUGUUUAAGCCUUGAAGUAAAGAAAUGCUUUUCGAGAGUCUGAAAGAUACUUGUGAUUACCAUAUUGAUAAGAACCGGUUUUGAACAAAAAGGUCUCUUCUUCUUGUCCCAUAGGUUCUGUAGUGCCUGAGAAAUUGGGCAAAGACAAAAACCAGGACACCUGCUCUCUGGUUUUCAUGUAAGCAUUAUGAUUUUCAAAAACAUACGGGUUUGCAGUCAUUGUACUACUGCAAUAACAUUAAAAAAUCUUUACAACUUCAGGAAUAAGAGCUGAUAUGAGCAAAAGUUUAUCACCCAUCUGCAGAGAUUGAAAAGGAGGAUUGUGAACCAGUGGUUCACUUCAGAGAUUCUCUGUCCGUAGUCAGCUAUGCCACUAACCCAUAGGGGUAGCCUUCCCUGGUUUUUGCUGCAUGAACAUUAAUUUCAAUUUGCUAGUUGCCAUUGCCUGGUUUGGGUUGCUUAUUUUUGUUAGGUUAUUUUUUGGUUGCUUGGGUUGUGGGUUUUUUUAAAAGUAUUGAAGGGAAUUUAAACAAUCUAUAGUCUUUUCAAGUCACAAAUUAUUAUCUACAGAAUCUUCCAUUGGUUUGUUCCACUGUUGAUGAUUUACUUAAUUCUCUUAUGUGUAAGAACACAGCUCAGAAAAUAAUCCUUAAAAGACCUUUGCAAAUCUACUGUUUUACAGAUUCAACGUGUUACAAACAAACAUAUUCCACCUGUUACAGCAAUCUGGCAUAUUACUUUCUUGAUACGUGAUGAUACAAUACCUCUCAGGUUUGCUGAGUAGCAAAGAGAAAUGAAACCCUUCUUCUGCAGAAAUUAUUGAGAACGUGCAUGAAACUGAAAAGAAACAAAGCUGACCAAUAAUAAAUUCUUAUGAAAAUUCCACUUGUAAGUACUAUUUCAUUACUAUUUUCACUGAAGAUCUUCACAGAUAGGAAACUCUAUGUAUCGGCUCUGAUUUUCUUGAGAAUAUUUUCAUACAAGUAUACCUCUUUUCUUCCUACCAGCAUAAUAUCAGACAAUUUUCUAACACUUCUUUUACAUCGCUCAAGUGCGCACUUAUGAGAGCUUAAAAAGCAUUUCAUUAAGUUUAUCUGUCUUUGAAUGUGAGAAUAAAUUUAAUGAAUAUCAUUGAAUAGAAUUUAUGUUGUGCACAUUUUUUUAAUCUAGUUUCUGAAUAUAAAAUGUUGUACAGCUGUAUCAUUUAUAACACCAUGCUGUGCUGCACAACACUAGUUGCUAUUUAUAUAGUGCUGUAACAUACAGUGAAACCUCUGCUUAAGAAUAAUUAUUUAAGGGACUUUAAGUGACUUAGAAAGAAGAUAGCUAAAGGUGUAAUCCAGACCCUCUAGCUACUCUUCCUCCUUGUAACAUUCCAUACCUAUGUUAUUCUUGAGAAGUUUAAGUUCAAUCCACAGAAAAUUACAUUUCUAUUCCUCAAGACAUAGGAGCCAUUCAUACAGAAAUGAGAAACAAAAUGUGUACAGAAAUAAACUUUACAUCUUAUGACAGUAGCAGCAGGUUCAUAGUGUCAGGAAGAAAAAAAUUGAUGAAAGGAAGCCAAGCCUGACAAACUGAAUCGUGGCUCAUUUUAGUGUUGUUGAACUUCAUUUCACUAACAAAGCAGUGAGUUAAAAAAAGGAAAAACUAUGAAAAAUACUUUUUAUCACCAUAGUAUACUAGUUUUAAAAUAAAUGUCUAUGUACUAUAUAAAUUCGUAGAUCUCGGCAACUAUAUAGGUAUUCUUAAUUAUUUUAAAUUGGGACCAGAGAAGGGGAUUUUAGUAAAAGCUAUAUGAUCAUACAAAGGACUAGAUUUGCUAAUAAUUUGUAUGGUAGUAUGUUCCCAUACAAAAUCAAUGUAAAAAUCCAAAAAACUGCCAUAUAAGGAGUAGUAAAUUUCUACAAAUUUAAUUUGUAAUAUUUUAUGAAAUGUAGACUAUGUAUUUGAUGUUACAGAGAGAUUAUACAUAGCAUAUGGAAGAUGCACACAUUUGUAUAUAUACACAUACGUAUAUGUGUGCGCAUGUGUGUGUCUUUUUCCAUAUCCUAUCUAUGCAUAGAUUCCAUCUUCCAGUUCUUGUUUUUGUAUAAAUCAGGAGUGAUUUUGAUAAAGUCAAUGUUUAAAAUGUUGUAAGAGGUUAUCGUCAAGUCCUUUAUAUAUAGUAAACACAUAUUAACAUUUAAGAGAUGAGCCAAGACAAUACUUAACUACUCAUUUUGGGCUGUGUCCAAAUACUGGCUCACAUGCCAGCUAUUCACCAGUAUAGUAUUUAGAUAAUAUUCUUUAGCUGACAUGGGUUUAUGUUGUAAAGAAAAACCUAUAUAAUUUGAGUGUUCUUGAAAAUAGAACUUAACUUUUAUGUUAUUUAGCUGUUUUGAGCAUUUUAGCCUUGAUAUAUUCCAAUUUAUGCAUUCAAUGCAGUGAGAGUACUGCUGGAACAAGCAAUUUAACUUCCAGGAAAAUUUAGCAGAACUUUUGGGACUUAGAGCAUGUAAGAAGUCAGGCACUGUUCAAGUGAGCAUGAUAUUCACAACCCCCCAGAAAGCAUUUUUAAACCCUGAGAAAGUAUUUUUGAUUUUGCAAACAAUAUUACAAUUAUUGUCUAAAAUUUUGCUUUUGAUAUAUGUAAACGUCCUAAGGGAUUGAAAAUAUGUUACUCUUCAUUAUACGUAUUGGCUUCAGACAUCAUUAUCCACUAAAAGUCACUUCAAUUCCAGGUGUGACUAUUUGCUAUGUAAGAAGUCAAGCAGUAGUUAAUUACCCACUUAAAAAAUAAAAUUCUGUCCUUAAGACAAAAGAAGAAGGACACUUUUCAUUACAUUUCCAAUGAACUGGAACUUUUGCUUCAAAUGAUAUUCCAAAAACUUGCUUUUUGUCUUGGAACUGGGUCAGAGUUUUCCUAGCCUUGAUACAAUUGGCAUCCUUUCUCCAAAUCAAAAUAUGCCAGCCAUAGUACUUUUUCAGUAAUACAGUUAUCAUGCAGAAAAUCUUUGAUAAGGCCACAUUAUGCAACAUUUGUGCUAUAGAGAUCCAUGAACCUGCAAGGUUAUGUGACUGCGAGUAACCCCUUCUGCCAUUUGAUGUUACAAAGACUUCAAAAACUUGACUGUGAGAUAGACUUCUUUUCCCCCAAAGGCUCAACAUUCUUUUUGUGCUACAUUUUUCAGAAGAACUCUUUGUUUGAAGAAGCUGGGCAGGGUAAAGCUGGCAGACUGGAACACUGCCCUGAUGUGUUGUGACAGACAUGUAAUCUGCCAUUUGACCACUGGUUCACACAUCAGUGUUAAUGUGAAUGUGACACCUCUCACCAUACUGUUAAUCAUGUAUUACUCUUCUGUCUAAAAUGUGGAGAUGUGGAGUAGACUUUUAUUCUUUUCAGAAGACUGUGCAAAAAAAUCUAGUGAAAUGAAAAUUUACACCCAUAAAGACAAACUGAUUGACAGCUGCAAAUCAUAGUCACAGCAACAUUGAUAUAUACAUAUUUAUAGAUCCCUAGAUUUCAAAACUAAAAAAGAUCAUUAGAACAGUCUGCUUAAUCUAACGCAUUCCCACUCCAAACGUGCAAGGAGUCAAACAUGUAGUCCCAUAUCAAGUGUGAGGAAACCUAGAAGAUGGCCUUCUGUAGUCCAGAAAUGAGAUCAAUUCAGCUUCUUUUCCUCACUAACACUUUUUCGUCUCUUGGGUUUUGUUUCUUUUUCUCCUGGUGUUUCAUCACCAAAGUGCCCAGGAGUUCAUCUGCUUUCAUUCAACUGAAAUGCAUGUACCAGAUGGUGCAAAUAGCCCAGUAUAUUUCAAUCCUGUAUCCAUGUCAAAAAACAGGCAGACUGCUGCAGUUCUUGGUUGCUGCACCUCAUGGUAUCAAAGGCUGGCUAAGAAGAGUGACACUGCUUGACAAUGAAUAAGAUUUUUCAGGUCUGGCAGGGAAGUUACUUUGGAAGCUAAAAUCCUGCUUCUACUCUGUAGGAGUUGCUUUUCAUGAUUAAUUAAUUGUGUUUACGCCAAUCUACAAAGGAUAUAAAGAAAUAUAAAAACAGAGCUACAGAAAUGUGUCUAGUUAGGAUACUUUAUAUUAACUUCAUAGUAACCAUUUCAUCACCUGUGUUUUAACCAUAUUACCUACUUGCUUGUUAGAAUUAUAAUAGAAACUGAUCUAAAAUAGAAAGUUCUAUAUUGUACUUUUCAACACACUUUUACAGGAGAACCACUGCAAUCUGUGUUUGCUAUAUGAACAGCCUUGACUACUGAUCACCUUAGGUCAAUGAAGUUUGAAAGUAUCUUGAGAGCUAGGCAGUGCAGUGAAGGUCACUGGCCACUUUCAUCUUAUAACAGCUGCUUGGAAUUUGACCUCAAGACUUUCAAAAUAUCUCUGUAGUAAAGCCUUACACUUGCAAGAGCCAUAGCUCUAGAAAAAUGAUGAUAUGAGCUAUCAAAGAGUGGAGAUUUGUCUUGGGAAACAGAAACUGGAUAGUUGCAAGCUGUUUGCAGCAGGAGUUGACAUUUUCUGUGUUGGUUUUCUGACUCCUAAGUGCUGUAACAAUAGCACAGAGUACAAGAAGAGUUCUACCUUCCAAUUCAUUCUUCUAACAUGUCACUAAUCCCACAAGUAACAGAAGAUACACAUGUGAUACAUUUGGACAGCAAUGUAGUGCUUUCUCACCAUGUCCACUGUCACAUCUGCAAGAGUAUGUGUCUCUUUGAGACCAAGGCAAAGUAUUCCUAUGCCUGUUUGGAUUACCUGUGCAUUUUUUGUCUUCCCAUUGUUUACAAGCUAGAAUAUGAGAAUUUUAAAACCUGCUGGAGAAUUCUGGUUUGACUGAUUUUCGUGGUCUGUGGGAUAAUUUAUAAGUGGUCCUGGAAGGGACAACACUCUUUUACCUGUUUAACCUCCCUGUCAAACACUAAAGCUUUUCUCUGUAUUUUUUAUUUUAUUGAAAAUUCUUCAUUAUUCUGAAUCCCCAAACAAUUUUUUUUUGUCUGAAGAGACAGACACCUUAUUUGGAAAGCUGUCUUCCUUCCUGAACAAAGAAUUUCAGAACAGAAAAGAGUACCAUAGAAAAGUUCAUGUAGCUGAAAGAGCUGUCUUGCUGGAAAUUAUAGUUAGCUGCAUGUUCAUUUUGCAUAGGUGUGAGUUUACCACGUAUAUGGAUAUCCUUGUUGACAAAUAUAUGCAUAUUCAUUUAUAUAUUCAGAAGCUCUAGUUUGCCUACAGUCAUGAUGUAGCUGAUUGUUCUCAUUUGCAUUGUAGUUACAAGAGUAUAAUUUUAAACAUAGGUCAUACUGAAAAGAAUUGUUUAUUUAGCUAAAGGCAUGUAGUAGAUUAGAUAAGAAUCAUCAAACAGGCCGUGGCAGCAAUUUAUGUUUAAUGGAAAGGUGUGAAAAAUAAGUCAAGAGAGAAAUGUUAUUUAAUAUGAUAGAUGGAAGUGGCAUUAAGACUAGUGGGAUGAAGGUAAAAAAAUAAAGUUUAAUCUGUCUACCUGAAAAAUUCUGGAGAGCAAACUAGUUGCACUAAACAACUGUAUAAUCUCUAUGGGUAAGCAUUAACAGUCCAAUCGCUUGAGAUUUUUGAAAGGCCAAAGGAGCAGCAAAAUACAUGUUGUGGAAGAAGCUUGAAUUGGCAGGUAGAUAGAUUAGCUGACCUAUUAGUUCUUUUCUAUUGCAAACUUCUAUGAUUUUGUGUGGGGAAAAUUCCUUUUCAACCCACGCUGGCAAUCUGUUUAUGUUCUGAAGUAUGAUGAUUGACAUCCCUUUUAACUUUUAACCUAGAGAAUGUCUCUGCAAGUGUUAUUCCUACAUAUAAAUGUCUAAUGCUUUUAAUAAAAAAAAAAGUCUCUCAAUUAGGGGACUGUAUCCAUGUGCAAAUGCAGAAUGGAGAUCACAACAGAGUCUGAGGUGUUAUCGCGGCAUGGGCAGCACUCCCACUCAGGAAGGAUGGGGCGGUGAGAAGGAAAAGGGAGCAUUUGGGGCUUUAAAGUCUAGAGAGAGAAUGAAGGCAAACAAGAGAAAAGGGGAUAAAAACAGUCAGAAAGAAGGGUAUAAUUUUUGUUGAAAAGGGGAAUAGAUAAAUGGGAAAGAAAAGAAAAGAGAGAAAUGGCAAGGUUGAAAGGUUUAAGAAUAGAGAAGCAAGAUAGGAGGGGAGAACUAAUUUAUGGAGUAGAAGAACAAGGAGAACAAAUAAGGAUGUACUCCUGUUAUUAUGGUACCAGAGUAACUUCCACCCUUUAAGUGUUUACCUUUGGUUCAUCUACAUGGAGGCUUAAAUUUUUUUUUCAUUUCAAAUGGUGUAAUAUGCCGUAAGCAUCACUGAAGCACACUCCUUA